Dermacentor andersoni is the source of this 185-nucleotide small nuclear RNA. RefSeq annotates it as U2 spliceosomal RNA. The record is from RefSeq and is a predicted model, not a curated record. Lineage: Eukaryota; Metazoa; Arthropoda; Arachnida; Ixodida; Ixodidae.
AUGGCAGGCGCGGGUCAAGGUGUGGUAUCUGUUCUUAUCAGCUUAAUAUCUGAUACGGGUUGUAUUUGGACUCAAAAUAUAACACUUAUUUUUGCAAGCUUGGCUCAGUGCUUCAAACGUGCUUCACCUCCGCCGCGGGCCGACCCGGUAUAUAUAGCACUAUGUUCGGGAACGGCGCACGAUUU